UACGUAGGGUGCAAGCGUUGUCCGGAAUUAUUGGGCGUAAAGAACUCGUAGGCGGUUUGUUGCGUCGGCUGUGAAAUCCCGAGGCUCAACCUCGGGUCUGCAGUCGAUACGAGCAAACUAGAGUGUUGCAGGGGAGACUGGAAUUCCUGGCGUAGCGGUGAAAUGCGCAGAUAUCAGGAGGAACACCGGUGGCGAAGGCGGGUCUCUGGGCCGAUACUGACGCUGAGGAGCGAAAGCGUGGGGAGCGAACAGG
This 253-nucleotide ribosomal RNA is filed under the name uncultured bacterium. Its description in RNAcentral is "partial 16S ribosomal RNA". It matches the Rfam family "Bacterial small subunit ribosomal RNA", at positions 524 to 776 of the family's 1533-position model. The record is from RNAcentral.